Molecule: long non-coding RNA, 559 nt
Organism: Vespula pensylvanica (western yellowjacket)
Lineage: Eukaryota; Metazoa; Arthropoda; Insecta; Hymenoptera; Vespidae
Exons: 3
Source: RefSeq, a predicted model, not a curated record
UCUUGUUAAUUGUUGUUGUUGUUGUUGUUGACGUUGUUGUCUUCAUCGUUAUUUUUAAGUCCAAUAUCUAAGAAAUAAUUUUUACGUUUCGAUUUCACAAUUUGACGAUGGAUGACUGUUCUCUUUGAUUAUUGCGUAACGAUGGAUAGAGAGAUAGAGAGACAGAGAAAGGGAGUGACUGGUUUCAAAUCUAUUUCCGUAAAUUGAUUCUGCCUUAAACAGACAGAGAACUUGUACAGACGACGUUUAUCUGCUUCGCUUUUCGUUCACAAUCGACGUGGUCUCUCGUUAUUGAUUUCCCUUCAGGUGUCAGCCACGAAUCCGUUUUCCACGGUGUCCAAUAACAUUCCUCAUCGUCGCAGUAGUUUCUCGCAUUAACACGAUUCGUCGAUUGGUCAAAGAUGAGAACCACUGGCACGCGCAGGUAGAUAAGUAAGUAAGUAGGUAGAUACUUAAUACUUACUAUGAAAACGCUGUAAUAUCUUUUUCGAAGAGGAAAAUGAGUCGAGAAAGAAGGUAUUACAGGGCGAAUUAGGAAUGACCUUGGAUUUAUGAUAAA